RNA transcript from Zootermopsis nevadensis, 2350 nucleotides. It is a transcript of the gene named protein KTI12 homolog, with no coding region annotated. Lineage: Eukaryota; Metazoa; Arthropoda; Insecta; Blattodea; Termopsidae. The record is from RefSeq and is a predicted model, not a curated record.
AAACACGAGACAAUCGUACACGAUUGUGAGACUUCCUACUCGUUUACCACCUUAGACAUAGAUAAUACCAUAGAUAACCUAUGAUUAUUGUGCUAUGAUUGUGAGAGGUUAGAACACAAGCAGAAGUUCAUUUAAAUGCCUCUAAUUUUGAUAACAGGGAUUCCAUCCAGCGGGAAAUCUACACGGGCGUUACAAAUAAAAUCAUUCUUUGAAGACGUACAUGAAAAAACUGUUUUUCUUGUUAACGAAAACGGCAUUAUUGCUGCUAAUGGGACCGAGAAAAAUGUUUUAUUUUUAGAUGCUACGAAAGAGAAACAGAUUCGUGGUCUUGUCAUGUCUGAAGCUCAAAGAUUAAUUAACAGAGAAGAUGUUGUUAUAAUUGAUGCUGGAAAUUACAUCAAAGGUUAUCGCUAUGAGUUGUACUGCAUGUCCAAAGCAAACAAGACCACUCAGUGUACAGUUCAUUGCGAAGUUCCAUUGAAUACAGCCUGGGAAUGGAACAGUAUGAGAGAAAAAGAGGAUGAUCGCUAUACUCAGGAGACAUUUGAUGCUCUGACAAUGCGCUUUGAGCCACCAGACAGUAGGAACCGGUGGGAUUCCCCUCUUUUCACUGUCCUGCCUGGAGACAAAGUUCCAACUGAUGACAUGUAUGGUGUUUUGUUUGAGAGAAAUGCUCCUCCACCCAAUCAAUCAACGCAGUGUGCCCCACUAUCAUCAACAAACUUCCUAUAUGAGAUGGACAAGAUAACACUGGAUGUUGUCUCAGCCAUUUUGUCAGCACAGAAGUUGGGGUUGGAGGGUGAAGUUAAAAUUCCAGGCUACAAGGACUGUGUGCUCUUGACUAAUGGUGCCAAUAUGACUGCAGCUCAACUGACUCGACUGCGAAGACAGUUUCUUGCUUACACAAAACUGCACCCAACUAAUGACAUCAGCAAAAUUGGCUCACUAUUUGUGCAAUUCCUUAACACAAGUCUGAGGUGAAAUGUACAAGAUGAUGCCCUUCUAACAUGAACAGUUAAGAAUGAAGACAGGCAAUUCAUUCAUUUGUAUACUUAUUUGCCUGCUUUCACCAGGAAAUAGUCAUUGUAAUGAGUUAAGGAGUUCAACAAAGAAUUAGAAAAGAAUGCAAAUCAUAAAUAGCAAACAUCUGAAGGUGUUAAGUCCAAGCAGUAUCAAAUACAAGAACAGCACAAAGUGUGAUGAAACAGAAGAAAAAGUACCAGGAUUUACAUAUGAAACGUAAGGGAAUCUUAAAAUCAACAAAGGAGUUUGUGUCCGUGGAAGACUGUUUAUCAUAGGAAAUGAACAUACAUACAAUGAAAAUUUUCAAAAAGAAAUAUAAGACCUAUGGUACAGGUUCAGAAGUAGCUCAGGACAAGUUUGUGAGUGUGAAAUAAUACUUUCUGACAGUGUGUCUACAAAGCAAGUUCAUAGUAAAGACAAAUCAAAGUGACAAUCAUCUCCAAAAACAAAAGUGUCAACUGCAGAGUAAUUCCACAGGAUGUCAGAAGCAAAUAUGAUUGUCCUUUGAAACUUGUGGAGAAAGGGCUGGUAUUAAACAACACGCUGAAAGCUUUCCAAAGCAUUUCAGUCAUUACUCAAGACAUCACAUAAAGAUAAUGUACCUCCCUCAAAUCUAAAUAUGAAGAAAAUGUAUUAUCUGUAUGCCAAGAAUGUAAGUGAAACAGAAAACCAGUUUCCUGAAAAAUACAUUGUGAAGUGUUUUAGAAAGGAUAUAAAUUAUAACAUAUACAGUGAGUGUCUAACAAACUCCAGACCUGACAUUGACAGCUGUGGACCAUGAAUGAAACUAUCAGAGACUGCAAGAAUGAUGUUGGCUACUGUUACAAGAAUAUAGACUGUGCAAGGCAAAAGUAUGGUUGGAUCCAGAUAAACUGGAUGAGAUAGGAAAAAGCAUUUGUUUUGUGUUUCAAGUAUAGCAUAGUAGAGAAUGAACCAUUCCACACACUCCAAAUCAAUGGUAGAAAUCCCUGCAACCUGCUUUAUGUCAGUUCCUGUAUGUCCUAAGAAGAGAUACCUAUUGAGCCAUCUGCCUUUAUCUGAUGUAUUAUAUAGCAUGCAUUCUUUCAAAUUUUGACCUAAGUGAGUUCACAUAUGCAGGAUGAUAUUGACACAGAAGAGGCAUAGUACAGUGCAGGCAGUAUGGUUCAAACAUCAUCCCACCAUUAUUUGCCACUUACACUACUGAAUAUAAUCACUUUAUCCAGUGUUAAUUUUAUGACAAACAGAUGCAGUUGUUAUACUGUAGAAGGUGAAUGUAUGAAUUUGUGAUUGCCGAUGUAUUUUACAAAGAAGCAUCAUGAUGAAAUAAGCACUCCUUUUGUUGAAA